AUUGAACGCUGGCGGCAGGCUUAACACAUGCAAGUCGAGCGGGGUGAUGGUGCUUGCACUAUCACUUAGCGGCGGACGGGUGAGUAAUGCUUAGGAAUCUGCCUACUAGUGGGGGACAACAUCUCGAGAGGGAUGCUAAUACCGCAUACGUCCUACGGGGGAAAGCAGGGGAUCACUUGUGACCUUGCGCUAAUAGAUGAGCCUACGACGGAUUAGCUAGUUUGUGGGGUAAAGGCCUACCAAGGCGACGAUCUGUAGCGGGUCUGAGAGGAUGAUCCGCCGCACUGGGACUGAGACACGGCCAAGACUCCUACGGGAGGCAGCAGUGGGGAAUAUUGGACAAUGGGGGGAACCCUGAUCCAGCCAUGCCGCGUGUGUGAAGAAGGCCUUAUGGUUGUAAAGCACUUUAAGCGAGGAGGAGGCUCUUUUGGUUAAUACCCAGAAUGAGUGGACGUUACUCGCAGAAUAAGCACCGGCUAACUCUGUGCCAGCCGCCGCCGUAA
This 503-nucleotide ribosomal RNA is filed under the name uncultured bacterium. RNAcentral's name for it is "partial 16S ribosomal RNA". It matches the Rfam family "Bacterial small subunit ribosomal RNA", at positions 30 to 523 of the family's 1533-position model. The record is from RNAcentral.